RNAcentral lists this ribosomal RNA (243 nucleotides) under uncultured bacterium. Its description in RNAcentral is "partial 16S ribosomal RNA". It matches the Rfam family "Bacterial small subunit ribosomal RNA", at positions 793 to 1035 of the family's 1533-position model. The record is from RNAcentral.
GUCCACGCCGUAAACGAUGUCUACUAGCCGUUGGGACUCUUGAAGUCUUAGUGGCGCAGCUAACGCACUAAGUAGACCGCCUGGGGAGUACGGCCGCAAGGUUAAAACUCAAAGGAAUUGACGGGGGCCCGCACAAGCGGUGGAGCAUGUGGUUUAAUUCGAUGCAACGCGAAGAACCUUACCAGGCCUUGACAUCCUGAGAACUUUCUAGAGAUAGAUCGGUGCCUUCGGGAAUUCAGUGAC